UUGAAACACCGGUUCCUGUAAAAAUCACUGAAGUUAAGCAACAUUGAUCCUGGUCAGUACCUAGAUGGGUGACCACUUGGGAAUACCAGGUACUGUAA
This is a non-coding RNA of Acanthosepion pharaonis, 98 nucleotides long. The record is from the annotation of a GenBank genome assembly. Lineage: Eukaryota; Metazoa; Mollusca; Cephalopoda; Sepiida; Sepiidae.